Molecule: long non-coding RNA, 2973 nt
Organism: Heterocephalus glaber (naked mole-rat)
Lineage: Eukaryota; Metazoa; Chordata; Mammalia; Rodentia; Bathyergidae
Source: Ensembl
GUGGAUGAAGGGGCUGGAGCAGCAGGUGGCCAGCCUGAAGGAGCAGCUGGACCAGGAAGUGCGGCAACGGCCACAUGGCCACCUCCACCAGGCCUCCCGGGCCAGGCAGUGAGCCCACUGCAGACACUGCACAGCUCGGCUGCCUGCAGCCCUGAGCAGCCGGACACGGGCUCCUCCGGGCAGGGGACCCAGGCGGCCGAGGACCUGGGCUGAGAAAGCUCAGCGGUGCUGCAGAGGGGGCAGUGCAGGAGGGACACAGGCACCUGGCCAGAGCUGCCUACCCACUCCCUGGGGCACUCUGGCCCCACCGGGGCUCUGCCGCUGGCUGGGCUGGCCCGGCUGCCGGUCACUCCUCUCCAGCACCCUUCCUGCCACAGGGAGCAGGCUGUGGAUGCCUCCUCAGCCCGCCCUUGGCGUGGCGCUCAUUUCCGCUUCGGACCUGCCGUUCUUGCCAGGACCUGGUGGCCGGGUCUUGCCAGGCAGGCUUCCUUGGCCACAGGCUGCAUUCCCAGCCUCGCUCUGUAAACACCGGGAAGCACGUGGGAAACAUUUCCACCAACACGAGCCAAAAACACAAUGUCCCGCAAGGCCAGCCGCCACAUCCCACGUCCAGAGGCUGUGGAACCUCCUGAGUCCAGGAACUGCCUCCUGUCACGGUGGCAGGUGGCUGGAAAUGACUCAGAUUCGAGUCCCUGUGACUCACUGGCCACAAGAGGUACUAAAGUGUGAAAUCUGAAGUUGUUCCAGAGGUUCCUGCAUCCCCAGUGGGGAGACACUGGGAAAAUUCCUGUGAGUUGCCACAGGGGUCUGUUACAGCCACCUGCUGGCCUCUUCCCUGGUCUCCCCAAGGAACUGGUCAGUGAUGCACCUUCCUCUGCUCUCACAUUGUAAGCAGCACCUUUAGGGCCAGGCACCAGGCCACAGGAAAAUCCUGUGUGCCUUGGCCCAGGCUGCCCUCAGGGCCCGGGCAUGGGAUGCCACCCACUCUGCCCACCAUGAGCCAUGACCACGCUGUCAGAGGCUGUCCUCUCUGGUCAGCCCUGGGACCUACUUGAACUUAGUAAGGGAGUGACACAUUCUAAGUCCCCAAAGCCAGGGCCGGGCAGGUGACCAGAGGCCCCCUGGCCUGUCCACGCUGCUCGCUCAUCAGUGGCAGAGUAAGAAGGAUCCACAGCUCAGCCCAGCUCUGAUGGGAGGCUCCAGGCACAGGAGCUAGUGGUGGCAGGAUGCCCUGAUGGCUAUGUGCCCACCACAGUGGCCAGGCAUGGGCAGCGGUGAGCCACUGGAGCAGAGCUUGCUUGCCCUGGUGCCAGGCGGUGUCCUGCAAAACACAGCAUGUGGCAGAUUUGUCUGCCUCCUCCCUCUGCACCCACCUGGAGGACAGCAGGGCCCUCCGGGAGGUGAGGGUAGAGAACUGGGUGGGCAAGGAGGAAGAAGGCCUGGACACCUGCCCUGAGCCACACCCAGAGUCUGAGGGGAGGGGACCGUGACAGCCCCACAGUGGCCUGCUCCCCAGAACUCUGGAGAAAGCGGGGCCCGGCCUCCGAGAGGCCGCCACAGUGACAUUCAUCCCACAAGCAUGGGCAGCCUCGCAGGUGUCUGCGGGGCUCCGAGGUGACCCUCAGGCCUGGUGCCUGCAGGGGACAGGCCCCAGGGUGCCUUAUGGACACUGGAUUUCCACACAGCUUUGCGCCCUAGGGCCCAUGUGCGGCUCCUUAGGUGGCCUCGGGGGCCUUCACAGCUCCAAACCGAAUCUUUGGGGGCCACCCCCCAGGUGUGGCUCAGGCUCAAUGUUCCCACCCUUACACAGCUCAGGACUGGCAUUGCAAAAAAAUAAAUCACAGAGAAUCAGAACAUAAAGAUCAUAACCAACCCCAACAUCAAGGUGGACCCCACGUGGCCUGUUCCCUGCAGGUACCAGGCCUUAGGGCCCCUUCUUUCCUUUGUCUAGCAUGCAGGUUCGUGGGACAGUUGAGGUCAUACCUUGUGAGCUACUUGGAACAUUACCUUUUGAAAGCCAGUUUUACUGUUGUAAUGAGAUUAGGGUUUUUCCAUGUCGUUAAAAAUGCCUCUGAAGCACAACUGUCAGCCGAGCUAGCUCCAGGGACCACGAGGGAAGCAGAACAGACGGGACUGUCUCUACAGGGCCCAGGAUGCCUCCUGGAGCCCAGUCACCCUGGCCCCAUGUGCAGCCCCUGCCGAGGCAGAGGGGAUGAGCCAGUGCUCAGGAGGCUCGGGUCUCCAUCCCCCGAGGGCAGGAGCACCAGCGCCUGUGCCACCUGCAGCAUCUGCUGCCUCCCUCUUUCCUCAGCACCAAGCAACAUCGCCUCUGGGGAAGUAAAUGCCAAGCCCCACUGGCUCCUCCCCAGGAGGAGCUGAGGUCCUGCAUGGGUGGCAGGCAUGGGGCUGCGAGUGCACACGGUGAGGAGCGGGUCGGGCUGUGCCGUCCCCUGCCUGCCCCACACAGCCUCACGGGUGGGGGAUCCACAGGUGCUGUCCCCUCUCCCCUGUCCUGCUUCUCUCCCCUGGACUGGGGAGGUUUACUGGGGGCCGGACCUCUGGCUGCACCCAUGGGGUGGGAACGCCAGGGACCACCUGGUGGGACCAGCUGGGGGCCCCUUGCUUCGCCGCCACCUCUGGUCCUGUGGGACUGGGGACCAAGCCCAGUUCUCCUUCCCUUCCCACCGGGUGCCCAAGUCCUGAGUGGCCUGGGGUGGCUCCGGGGCUCCCUGUCUAUGCUGCACACAAAUCAGGCCCUAAAUUAAAGUGCCACAGGGCCACGGGGCAGGCUCCAGUUUCCUGCCACAGAACAUGAGCCCGCUUGAUAAAGCAACUUUGGUUUUGAUAAAUGUGGAUUUUCUGUGGCAGAGACAAAGGCGCCCUUGAGCCCAGAGGGACCUAAAACAGCACAGUGCUGAAAAGUAUUUCCUGAUCAUAUUUUUAGCACCUGAAAAAAAAAAACACAUUUUUUUC